This is a non-coding RNA of Henosepilachna vigintioctopunctata, 79 nucleotides long. The record is from the annotation of a GenBank genome assembly. Lineage: Eukaryota; Metazoa; Arthropoda; Insecta; Coleoptera; Coccinellidae.
GCUCCUUGGCUUAGUCGGGAAAGCAACCGACUAUGAUGCGUUAAGAUUCGGGUUCGAGCCCCGGUUUACCAUGGAUGUA